GGUAACAUCGCCAAAUGGAUAAGGCUAAGGAUUGCAAAUCCUUUAUUUCUCAGUUCAAAUCUGAGUGUUUCCU
RNAcentral lists this transfer RNA (73 nucleotides) under Pteridomonas danica. Its description in RNAcentral is "tRNA-Cys". It matches the Rfam family "tRNA". From Rfam's summary of the family: Transfer RNA (tRNA) molecules are approximately 80 nucleotides in length. Their secondary structure includes four short double-helical elements and three loops (D, anti-codon, and T loops). Lineage: Eukaryota; Dictyochophyceae; Pedinellales. The record is from RNAcentral.